Zea mays is the source of this 1992-nucleotide long non-coding RNA. RefSeq lists it as uncharacterized. The record is from RefSeq and is a predicted model, not a curated record. Lineage: Eukaryota; Viridiplantae; Streptophyta; Magnoliopsida; Poales; Poaceae. The transcript is spliced from 2 exons.
UGACUGCACUAUGGAUCAGGUUGGGGAAUAAAGAAAAAGAUCUUUUACCUCUCGGCUGCUGUAGAAAAUAUCAGGUUUUGGGGUAUUUGAAGCCUGCCCUCGAUGGAGUUCUCAUCGGCUGCUUCUCUAGUUAUUCUCAAGUGAUAUUUUGGUGUAGAGCUUGACCAGGUUCAGUGUUUCUUUGGACAGUGCAUGUGAGCCAGCAAAGUAUAUGUGCAUGGGAGCCACGUUGAGUUGCUCCUGCAGUGCUGCUGUGCUGGCAUGCCCCAGAAUUCAUGUUCACCAAGUUGUGGUCGAGUUCCAUAUGCCUACCUACAUAAUCAGUGAUGCCUGCCCAUAUAUAUACAACCCUUUGGUUGGGUUCAGUGAAGGUUUCCUCCCUGCUCACGAAUUCUGUCCAAAGAUAACUGAAGGGUGUUGUGGCGCAUGUGUUCCUGCUAGUAUUAAUCUUCUCCCCAGUCCCUAGAUCGAUUUGCUUAAGCUGGUAUGUGCCACCCCCUGUGCUGGUGACCACGCGUGCAGUUCUCCCACCUCGCCAUGGCUCGGACGUCCUUAGGAGUUGCUGGCCCGUAUGAAGCUUGUUCCGUAAUCAUCUCAGAGCUCCCAAAAUAAAGAGCGAAGAUUCAAGAUGAAGUGGUUGCUAAAGAGGACUCUACUCCAAUGCCUGCUCAUCAAGUGGAUGGAGCCAUCUAACUGGGGUUUAAUAGAGGGAUUUAGACCUCCGUCUCCGCAACAAAGGCAAGCCCCGAUGUAUUUACCCCUUCAUUGUAUUUUUAAAAAGACUUUUAUACACUUAAGUCUAGUCAAAUGUGCAUUAAGUUUAUAGGAAUUGCUUGGAAACUAUUUGAUGCAUUGACUACCUUGAUAUCCAUGCCUUUAUAGAUACUUUGAUGAAGUAUCAAAAUAUGAUUUACAAAAAUGCUUAGCCCUGCUUAGAUCUUGUGGAUAGAGGUUGUCUUUUGCAAUAAUGCCUAGCUCAAGGGUUAUCCUGAGGAAGGAUGGCUUCUACCUGCAAGAAUAUUUUCAUUGGGAGCAUAUGGUGGGAUCUUACUGCAAAGUUCUCCAUAAUGCUCUUUUCAUCCUUAGGAACACAAAACAAUCCUAAGGGUGGAAGUACUUAGCUCUAGACUUGGGAUUGGAACAGGUGAUGCUCCACCCAGGUUAAUUAAGGAUUGGAUGCGUAAGUAGGCCUGCAUGAUCAAGGACUAUCUUAACUGACCACAUGCCCUGGAUAUGGGAAGGGUAAGCUUGAACCCGGCUAUUCCAUACGUGAAAAGACAACCGCACACUGGGUAUGGGAGAUGGUGGGAGUAGCAUGUACCCUCCUGGCUAGAGGCUGGACAGAGGAGUAUUGUGCUCCCGGGUAGAGCGGAUCGGUUCACAUUGUGGAGGAUCUGUGGGAAUCGUUGACAUAUGCAAGGGUUAAGUGCUACAUAUGUGGUGUGGUUAGAGAUCCUCAACUGUGGAGACUUGAUCUCUGACCUGCAACCUAGGUCAGGAUGUAAACAUUAUGAAUAAAAAUGAUGUUGUAUUGAUGAGAUGGUGAAAUUAGACUAGAUGCAACCAGAGUCUAUUAAUAUUUAAUCUGGCGUUAAAAUAUUGAAAGUAAGGACUCACUUUAAUAAGCUAUUUCCGCAGAAGUAUCUAAGUUGAUUCUUGCUAAAGCCUUUUCCUUGAUUCCUAUUUAACCAGCAUAUCCUUGAGAGUCAUUUUUCCUUAGUCGGGUAAGACUGCGAAAGUACACUUCGUACUCAGGGUUUUCGAACCCAUGUUGUUGUAGGUGUUGAGGAGUACUCAAAGUGAUUCGGAGGCUGGACGGCAUUUCCAGUACUGGGGGAGGAUUAGUUAGGCUUGUGUAUAAGCUUUGGAGGGUUCCUACCUUCCUGCUAUUGUAAUAAGUUAUGCACUUUAUAUAUAUCAGGACUUGUAAUAAAUGUAACUCUUCCUAUGUAAUAACCUUCAUUUUUAGAAAUGAAAACAAUGUUUUGUAAA